AGUGAACGCUGGCGGUAGGCCUAACACAUGCAAGUCGAACGGCAGCACAGUAAGAGCUUGCUCUUACGGGUGGCGAGUGGCGGACGGGUGAGGAAUACAUCGGAAUCUACUUUUUCGUGGGGGAUAACGUAGGGAAACUUACGCUAAUACCGCAUACGACCUACGGGUGAAAGCAGGGGAUCUUCGGACCUUGCGCGAUUGAAUUAGCCGAUGUCGGAUUAGCUAGUUGGCGGGGUAAAGGCCCACCAAGGCGACGAUCCGUAGCUGGUCUGAGAGGAUGAUCGGCCACACUGGAACUGAGACACGGUCCAGACUCCUACGGGAGGCAGCAGUGGGGAAUAUUGGGCAAUGGGCGCAAGCCUGAUCCAGCCAUACCGCGUGGGUGAAGAAGGCCUUCGGGUUGUAAAGCCCUUUUGUUGGGAAAGAAAAGCAGCAGGUUAAUACCCCGCUGUUCUGACGGUACCCAAAGAAUAAGCACCGGCUAACUUCGCG
RNAcentral lists this ribosomal RNA (492 nucleotides) under uncultured bacterium. RNAcentral's name for it is "partial 16S ribosomal RNA". It matches the Rfam family "Bacterial small subunit ribosomal RNA", at positions 29 to 507 of the family's 1533-position model. The record is from RNAcentral.